RNAcentral lists this ribosomal RNA (700 nucleotides) under uncultured bacterium. RNAcentral describes it as "bacterial SSU rRNA". It matches the Rfam family "Bacterial small subunit ribosomal RNA", at positions 8 to 703 of the family's 1533-position model. The record is from RNAcentral.
AGAGUUUGAUCAUGGCUCAGAUUGAACGCUGGCGGAAUGCUUUACACAUGCAAGUCGAACGGCAGCACGGACUUCGGUCUGGUGGCGAGUGGCGAACGGGUGAGUAAUAUAUCGGAACGUAUCCAGUAAUGGGGGAUAACUAAUCGAAAGGUUGGCUAAUACCGCAUACGCCCUACGGGGGAAAGCUAGGGACCUUCGGGCCUGGCGUUAAUGGAGCGGCCGAUAUCUGAUUAGCUAGUUGGUGGGGUAAAGGCCCACCAAGGCGACGAUCAGUAGCUGGUCUGAGAGGACGACCAGCCACACUGGAACUGAGACACGGUCCAGACUCCUACGAGAGGCAGCAGUGGGGAAUUUUGGACAAUGGGCGAAAGCCUGAUCCAGCCAUUCCGCGUGAGUGAAGAAGGCCUUCGGGUUGUAAAGCUCUUUCGCAAGGGAAGAAAGAUUAUCCUCUAACAUAGGAUGAUUAUGACGGUACCUUGAUAAGAAGCACCGGCUAACUACGUGCCAGCAGCCGCGGUAAUACGUAGGGUGCGAGCGUUAAUCGGAAUUACUGGGCGUAAAGCGUGCGCAGGCUGUUUUGUAAGUCAGAUGUGAAAUCCCUGAGCUCAACUUAGGAACUGCGUUUGAAACUACAAGACUAGAAUAUGUCAGAGGGGGGUAGAAUUCCACGUGUAGCAGUGAAAUGCGUAGAGAUGUGGAG